RNAcentral lists this ribosomal RNA (1359 nucleotides) under uncultured bacterium. RNAcentral describes it as "bacterial SSU rRNA". It matches the Rfam family "Bacterial small subunit ribosomal RNA", at positions 28 to 1381 of the family's 1533-position model. The record is from RNAcentral.
GAUGAACGCUAGCUACAGGCUUAACACAUGCAAGUCGAGGGGCAGCAUUUUAGUUUGCUUGCAAACUAAAGAUGGCGACCGGCGCACGGGUGAGUAACACGUAUCCAACCUGCCGAUAACUCGGGGAUAGCCUUUCGAAAGAAAGAUUAAUAUCCGAUGGUAUAUUAAAACCGCAUGGUUUUACUAUUAAAGAAUUUCGGUUAUCGAUGGGGAUGCGUUCCAUUAGUUUGUUGGCGGGGUAACGGCCCACCAAGACUACGAUGGAUAGGGGUUCUGAGAGGAAGGUCCCCCACAUUGGAACUGAGACACGGUCCAAACUCCUACGGGAGGCAGCAGUGAGGAAUAUUGGUCAAUGGACGAGAGUCUGAACCAGCCAAGUAGCGUGAAGGAUGACUGCCCUAUGGGUUGUAAACUUCUUUUAUAUGGGAAUAAAGUAUUCCACGUGUGGGAUUUUGUAUGUACCAUAUGAAUAAGGAUCGGCUAACUCCGUGCCAGCAGCCGCGGUAAUACGGAGGAUCCGAGCGUUAUCCGGAUUUAUUGGGUUUAAAGGGAGCGUAGGUGGAUUGUUAAGUCAGUUGUGAAAGUUUGCGGCUCAACCGUAAAAUUGCAGUUGAAACUGGCAGUCUUGAGUACAGUAGAGGUGGGCGGAAUUCGUGGUGUAGCGGUGAAAUGCUUAGAUAUCACGAAGAACUCCGAUUGCGAAGGCAGCUCACUAGACUGCAACUGACACUGAUGCUCGAAAGUGUGGGUAUCAAACAGGAUUAGAUACCCUGGUAGUCCACACAGUAAACGAUGAAUACUCGCUGUUUGCGAUAUACAGUAAGCGGCCAAGCGAAAGCAUUAAGUAUUCCACCUGGGGAGUACGCCGGCAACGGUGAAACUCAAAGGAAUUGACGGGGGCCCGCACAAGCGGAGGAACAUGUGGUUUAAUUCGAUGAUACGCGAGGAACCUUACCCGGGCUUAAAUUGCAUUUGAAUAAUCUGGAAACAGGUUGGCCGCAAGGCAAAUGUGAAGGUGCUGCAUGGUUGUCGUCAGCUCGUGCCGUGAGGUGUCGGCUUAAGUGCCAUAACGAGCGCAACCCUUAUCUUUAGUUACUAACAGGUCAUGCUGAGGACUCUAGAGAGACUGCCGUCGUAAGAUGUGAGGAAGGUGGGGAUGACGUCAAAUCAGCACGGCCCUUACGUCCGGGGCUACACACGUGUUACAAUGGGGGGUACAGAAGGCAGCUACCUGGCGACAGGAUGCUAAUCCCAAAAACCUCUCUCAGUUCGGAUCGAAGUCUGCAACCCGACUUCGUGAAGCUGGAUUCGCUAGUAAUCGCGCAUCAGCCAUGGCGCGGUGAAUACGUUCCCGGGCCU